GAUGAACGCUGGCGGCGUGCCUAAUACAUGCAAGUCGAGCGAACAGACGAGGAGCUUUCUCCUCUGACGUUAGCGGCGGACGGGUGAGUAACACGUGGAUAACCUACCUAUAAGACUGGGAUAACUUCGGGAAACCGGAGCUAAUACCGGAUAAUAUAUUGAACCGCAUGGUUCAAUAGUGAAAGACGGUUUUGCUGUCACUUUUAGAUGAUUCCGCGCCGCAUUAGCUAGUUGGUAAGGUAACGGCUUACCAAGGCGACGAUGCGUAGCCGACCUGAGAGGAUGAUCGGCCACACUGGAACUGAGACACGGUCCAGACUCCUACGGGAGGCAGCAGUAGGGAAUAUUGCGCAAUGGGCGCAAGCCUGACGGAGCAACGCCGCGUGAGUGAUGAAGGUCUUCGGAUCGUAAAACUCUGUUAUUAGGGAAGAACAAAUGUGUAAGUAACUAUGCCCGUCUUGACGGUACCUAAACAGAAAGCCACGGCUAACUACGUG
This 497-nucleotide ribosomal RNA is filed under the name uncultured bacterium. Its description in RNAcentral is "partial 16S ribosomal RNA". It matches the Rfam family "Bacterial small subunit ribosomal RNA", at positions 28 to 507 of the family's 1533-position model. The record is from RNAcentral.